RNAcentral lists this ribosomal RNA (301 nucleotides) under uncultured bacterium. Its description in RNAcentral is "partial 16S ribosomal RNA". It matches the Rfam family "Bacterial small subunit ribosomal RNA", at positions 509 to 807 of the family's 1533-position model. The record is from RNAcentral.
CAGUAGCCACGGUAAUACGUAAGGUGCAAGCGUUGUUCGGAAUUAUUGGGCGUAAAGGGCAUGCAGGCGGUCGUGCAAGCCCGGCGUGAAAGACGGGGGCUCAACUCCCGAAGUGCGCUGGGAACUGCAGGGCUUGAGUUUCUGAAGGGCAGCCGGAAUUCCACGUGUAGGGGUGAAAUCUGUAGAUAUGUGGAAGAACACCAGUGGCGAAGGCGACUCUCUGGUCUGUAACUGACGCUGAGGAGCGAAAGCGUGGGGAGCGAACAGGAUUAGAUACCCGCGUAGUCCCUGUCUCUUAUAC